ACAUAGAUAGAGAUUCCAUAUAUAUGUACACUUUACUUUUUUUUAAGUCUAAUAAUAUAUAGUAUCUUCUAAUUUUAUUUGUACUAGCAGUGUCCGUAGUCAGGCAGUGCAAUGCAACAAAGCUGCUAAGUUCAUAGCAACAUCAGUUAAUUAGAUUAUGUUUGGCAUAGCUUAGCUUCGCUAGUGAAACUAUUUGUUUGGUUUCAACUUAAUUGGUAAAAACAGAGCUAUGUUCGUGAUUCCAUUUAGCAAAACAACUUUACAUAGUAGACAUCGGGGUUGAUUAAAAGCCACUGGAUUCUGCAAUGAGAAAAUUCCAAGCAUCGGUGGUUCCUCGGCGUGAUGACACGCGUCUUCAUAACUUUUACAGAAAGACCCUUUGUCUUUAAGGUAACUAACCCGCGGUCCAACAUGUCGUUUCUACACAGCAAUCAGGUUUGGAUAUUUUAUGUACGGGACCUUUUGUAACUUUUAUUUCAACACAAAGAAGAAAAUUUGGCAACCUCACCGUUUUGCAAACCACCCCCUGAAAGCAACAAGGAGAGCCCCUACAGCCAACCCUACCGCAGUUUUGUUUCUCGGUCUCUCUCCCCUCUCCCCAUCCUUACCGCCGCCGCCACCUCUCCCCUCCAUGCCCUCUCCUCCGCACGCCGCCUCCAUGGCUCUCCCCUCCCUGCCCUCUCCUCCCCGAGUUGCCUCCAAGCUGGCAUGAGCAUACCUCCUUUGCGUGACGACUUGACGAGCAGCGGUCCCCGUCCUUACCGCCGCCGCCACCUCUCCCCUCCAUGCCCUCUCCUCCGCACGCCGCCUCCAUGGCUCUCCCCUCCCUGCCCUCUCCUCCCCGAGUUGCCUCCAAGCCGGCAUGAGCAGACCUCCUUUGCGUGACGACUUGACGAGCAGCGGGGGAAAAUCGGAGAGGAGGAGGUGUCCACGGAUACCGCGUGCGGAGGACCGGAGGAUGCUUCCUUACUCCCGAAGAUCCCCAUGCUCUCCGGAUCUGAGCUCACAUCAAACAGAUCCAGCCUCGACGACCAUCGAUCUGGCUGGCCUGUAGAAGCCCGUGGUGUGCGCGCAGCAAGCUCCACGAAGCAA
RNAcentral lists this long non-coding RNA (1092 nucleotides) under Sorghum bicolor (sorghum). RNAcentral describes it as "long non-coding RNA (SBIC_LNC001341)". The record is from RNAcentral. Lineage: Eukaryota; Viridiplantae; Streptophyta; Magnoliopsida; Poales; Poaceae.